CCGCGAAGAAACAAAUCCUAAUUUGCAAAGUCUGUCGAUUGGUUUCUUCUUCAUCUUCUUCUUUCCUCCGUUUACGAAUCUGUUCCAGGAGCAAUCAAUUCCUUCCCCACUCCUCUUCUUUUUAAUCCCUCUUUAAUCCCAUUAAUGGGUACUUUUGGCUUUCUCCCUCUAGACUGGCUUCAUGCUCAGGAUGAUGUUCUUCCUCGCAGUUUCUUCUCCCCUCGCAGCGACACUGGCCGUCCAGAGCUUCUCAAGGACUUGGCUAGCGAGAGUGUGAAUGGAUCAUCAUCUGAUCGUAAUCCUGUCAGUGUUGCUGGACUUGGGUCUGCUUUAAUAUUCACAGUUUUUUUUUCUUUUUUUCUAGAACCAAAAAUUAUAUGAAAGUUUGUUUUUUAUGUUUUUUUUCUAAGUCACUUUGAUCUGUUUUCUUGAAAAGGUUUAAGUCUUUGAACUCUCCUCUGAUUCGUGCCUAUGGUGGACUUCGGUUUGAUCCCAACGGAGAAGUUGGUGUUGAGUGGGAACAGUUUGGCGCCUUUUACUCUAAAGUGCCACAGGUCUGAGAGUUUUCGUUUCGUUUUCAAGAAAGUUUUGUAACUAUUAUGACUGCGUUUGAUUGGUUCAUUCAUAGGUGGAGUUUGUUGAGUUUGGGUGAAACUCAAAGCUGGCUGCAACUGUUGCUUGGGAGGAUGAGCUCUCAUGGACGCUGCAAAACGCCAUUGAAUCACUUGAGGAGACUAUGCUUCAGGUUUCUUCUGUAAUAGUGAGAUUAAGGAGAGAAUCACUAGGAGUUUCUGUUGUUAGCAAGAACCAUGUUCCUAAUGAAGGAGACUAUCACCCUUCUGUAGAUACUGCUCUGGAGAUUAUUAAAGCAGAAGAUUCACCACUAAGCAAGGUUGUGCUUGCACGCAGCAGCAGAAUCAUUACGGAACGUUACUUAUUCUAGCUACGAGAGAGGCUAAUAAAUUCAGAAAAUUGACGAAUCAAAAGCCCUAUGUCGGAGGGAAAGUGAAUGGAAAAAAGAAAGUGACAGAGGACAAUGAAAUAGCCUGGAUACAGUCUCAAGCAGUGGUUCUCGACCUAAAGGUUCAGAAUGCAGAGCAGGAGUUACUGGCAACUGCGGCUGCACCAUGUCUUUUCUUCUGAUUAAAACGUGGAUAAGUAUGGCGAAUAGCAAGUACGAGUAUGUCAAGUCGUUCGAACUUGAAGAUGAAGUUAUGUUUCCUAACUUGAUCGUUGUCCGGAUUUUUCUAGAUUUUCUCAGGUUCAUGAGUUUGAGAAGCCUAAUGAUGAAGCAGCCCUCAAUCUGAUGUAUUCAUGUUCUUCUGCCGUUUUGGAAGAGUAUCUUGAUAUCAUCUUUGCAUACGGAUCCAGUGAUGAAUACAGCUUUGUAUUCAAGAAAACGUCAAGAUUCUACCAGAGACGAGCUAGGUACAUGUGAAUACAACUUAGAAGGAAGGACUCGGGCUAUAACAGUUACGAAGGUUUCAGGUAUAACAGUUACGAAGGUUGUCUCUCCUUCAGUCCUGCAACCUUUGACAUCCCCAGUUGGAAUCCCACUUGCCACCAGUUCUGAAGUGCCUCUAUUUCCUGCAAGUGAUUAGGGCAUACUCCAGAGACUGGAGAUCUAGAUGUUGAAGAAAACGCCAGCACACGUAAUUGUGACGAAGCACAGAGGAAAACGUGCUAAACUUGAGUAAUAGAGCAUUAACCACUCAUUUUAUAGAUUGCACUCAUGCAUAGGAGUACAACUUAUCUUUUCAAUUUGCAAGCAGAUGAGUUUAUUUAUCUACAAAUUUUAUAUGAUUUAUAAAUUAUUAAAAAUGUACAUUUAUAUAAUUAUAAACAUGUUCCACAUACAUUUUAAAUUUCUUUAUAAAUUUUUAAAACUCUUAAAAUGA
Raphanus sativus (radish) is the source of this 1898-nucleotide RNA transcript. It is a transcript of the gene named isochorismate synthase 2, chloroplastic-like, with no coding region annotated. The record is from RefSeq and is a predicted model, not a curated record. NCBI's taxonomy places the organism in Eukaryota, Viridiplantae, Streptophyta, Magnoliopsida, Brassicales, Brassicaceae. The transcript is spliced from 6 exons.